GUAACGUUUGAUCCUCAGAGGGUUUCUGCAGACAUGGAGCUUCUACCACUUCUGUUUCUGAGCUUCUGUUUCCUGACUUUGUCCGGACCGACGUUUGGUGCUGAAUCCGUGACAUCUGUGAUUGUGAAAGAAGAUGAUGAUGCCAUUUUGCCCUGUUCCUCGGCACCAAUGAGAACAUUGAGUCAAUGGUGUUUGACUGGAAGAAGGAAGAAACAGUCCAGGUGUUCGUGUAUAAUAAGGGUGCCCAUUACAAUGAUCAAAAUGAGCAGUUCAAAAGUCGAGUCACACAUUUUCCAGAAGAGCUGAAGCACGGCAAUGCCUCCAUAAGAAUAAAAGAAACUAAGCGGGAGGACAAAGGAAACUACACCUGUUUUUUUCCAAACCGCAGUAAGACAUUCAAAGUUGAGCUUGUUGUUGUUUUUACAUGUAAAUUUGGGUCGCAUAAAACCUCUGCGUUUUAAAAGGUUAAAGGACAGAACAAAGGAAAACAUCCCAGGUGCAGCUCCAAAGCCAUAUGUCAAAUUGCUUAAGGAAAAAGGUUUGCUGGAGUGUGAAGUUCCAGGGGCUUAUCCUAAACCUACAGUAGAGUGGCAGGACAGCGAUAACAAAACACUUUUUUUCUAAGACGUUGCAAGACAUAGAAGAUAAAAAUCGCUUUUACAUCACCAUCCAAACUAGUGUGACUAAGCCCGGCUGCUACCGCUGUGUAGCAACACAGAUGGCCAUAUGGCAUCAGAUUCCUUCAGAGACCUGUGUCCCUGAUGGUGAGUGGAAUUUUAUUCAUCACAUAACUCUGCUUUAUCUUUAUUUUAAUAUUAAUGGAAUAAUAGUUUAUAAAAUAAACGUAGUGUUGUGUUAAAUGGCUAGAAAUAAUCAAUUUAGCUUAUAAUGUUAUCAGUAUAGUAAAGAGCUUGAAAGGAAAGGCGUAAACCUGCUUUAAGUCUCAUACAGGCGUCUCACCUUUCAUCUGAGAAGCUACUUUAGUGCACCCUGGUUUAUUAACUUUACAGAAUAUAAUGCUUUAGAACGAUACAGUCCCAAUCAAAAGUUUAAGACCACUUGAAAAAUGGCUAGAAAUCAUAUUUUGCAUGGCUGGAGCUUAACAAGGUGAAGUUCCAUUGUUUCACCGAAGGAAAAGACACCCCAGACCACUAUGGUGCCCCCUCCACAUCUCAGGUGGGAUCUGCUUGUUUUGCCAGUAACAUUGGAAACCAUCAGGACCGUUAAGGUUUAAAUUUUUUUCUCAUCAGAGAAUAAAACUUUCUUCCACCUUUCAAUUUCCCAUGUGUGGUGCUCUCUUGCAAAGUCCAAACAGUACUGUGGCUUUCAAGGAGACAAUGCCUUUGAAGACUUUUUGUUUUGUUUUUGAAGCCCUUCAGUCUCGGAUGCCAUCUGAUGGUUUGGGCUGCAGUCAGCACCUGUAACGACCUUAAUUUGGGUCGAGGAUCGUCCAGUGUCUUAACGGACAGCUAGCUGGAUGCUCCGGCUCAGUGCUGGUGAAAUUUUGGGGGGUCUUCCACUUGACUUUUUUGUUCCAAAGCCCUCAGGAUCACACCACGUUCAAAAAGGGAAAGUUUUUUUGCCUUUGCCAUCAGAAAGUCAUGACAGUAUGACUACUUGACAGACAAUGACAAUGAAUACAAAUUUGGCCUUUUAAAGGCAUGUGACCUAAACUUUUGAUCAGCUGUAAAACAGCCUGUUUGAGUUUAAACAUUGUUUUCAAUAAAUUGCAUGCUCAAAAAUUUUUUUUGUCUCACUCACAUUUCUUUCUGUUGCAUGUUGAAGUUCCCCUUGGAACGUUGUUAAGAUCCAACCAUGCAAAAUAGGAUUCUUUGAUAUUUUUUCAGAUUUUUCAGAUGUUUGAUAUUUUAUCAGUAGUAGACAGCUGUCACAAUUCUGAUAAGAACAAGUGGAAGAGGAUUACUAGAGUGAAAAAUGCGCAUGACAAGUUUUAUGUUAACCACUAAAUAGUUCUUUUUUGAAAGAAAAGUAAGUAUAUGCUCAUAGAGUGGAGGGUAUAAAAUAUAAAAACAAUUUAUCAAAAAUGAAAUUUUUGUCUUCUUUUGUCUGAGAUUUAAAAGUUCAUGUGUAACGUAAAACUAUGCAUACAGAUCCAUACCCUUCGGUCAAUGAAAGAAAAACUCACAAUGAUCACAGAAAUAACUU
Molecule: long non-coding RNA, 2166 nt
Organism: Oreochromis aureus
Lineage: Eukaryota; Metazoa; Chordata; Actinopteri; Cichliformes; Cichlidae
Source: Ensembl